AGCGCAGGCGGUUCCUUAAGUCUGAUGUGAAAGCCCACGGCUCAACCGUGGAAGGUCAUUGGAAACUGGGGAACUUGAAUGCAGAAGAGGAGAGUGGAAUUCCAUGUGUAGCGGUGAAAUGCGUAGAUAUAUGGAGGAACACCAGUGGCGAAGGCGACUCUCUGGUCUGUAAUUGACGCUGAGGCUCGAAAGCGUGGGGAGCAAACA
RNAcentral lists this ribosomal RNA (207 nucleotides) under uncultured Lactobacillales bacterium. RNAcentral describes it as "partial 16S ribosomal RNA". It matches the Rfam family "Bacterial small subunit ribosomal RNA", at positions 568 to 774 of the family's 1533-position model. The record is from RNAcentral. Lineage: Bacteria; Bacillati; Bacillota; Bacilli; Lactobacillales.